Long non-coding RNA from Puntigrus tetrazona (Sumatra barb), 1030 nucleotides. RefSeq lists it as uncharacterized. The record is from RefSeq and is a predicted model, not a curated record. The transcript is spliced from 4 exons. Lineage: Eukaryota; Metazoa; Chordata; Actinopteri; Cypriniformes; Cyprinidae.
AUGGAGGAGACGCCAAAAACACUAGUGACUGUAUUACUUGAUGAAAAGGAGAUAUGCAAAAAACUUCAGCAUCUCAAGAGUGUAGCAGAAAUAAUUGAUGCUUCCAAAUGUCUCCUACCAUGUGCUGCAGAGUACCACAGAAUUUUGAAAUUUAAUGCUGAUUUUAAUGAAUUUAUUGACACUGACCUAACUGAAAAAGUGGAAAACAAGGAUAAGUUUCAAGUUUUGUUUAAGUCAAUUCAGAGAACUGGAUCACAGGCAUUGAAUGGAAAGGGGGAUGCCGAUGCAGCCAGUCCAAGUCAUCAAUAGAAAGUAUGUAUGUUCAAGGAGGACUUAAGAAUAGAAUACAAGUAAUAUGCUUGAAGUUUUUUUUUUUUUUAAGGUUGCACCAAAGAACAUACCAGAACCUGGUUCAAGUAGUCAACAGAAGGUUUGUAAGUAAGUGCUGAAAUAACAGCACUCUGUUCACUAUUUGUAUUACUCUGUUUGACUUUGUUUGCCCAUUCCAGAGAAAAUUUGUACAUUUUGCCAGUUCAUGUUGACAAGUGUCUUCAUAAGUGAGUUUAACCAGUUCAUUCAAAGAUGCAAAUUCAUUCUGAAACAGUAUAAGGAAGUGACUUUGAGUAAGUGAAUCAUUAACUCAUCUAAUUAGAAAUACUUUGUGUCUCUUAUAUUUCCAGCGUCAACGUAAUAGAAUUGAUGUAGACACUCUGCGAGCACUAAUUGAAAGCAAAGGUCUGAGUAUAUUGAAGGAUUAUGAAGCUUCAGGAAUGCUUUCAGAGACAUCAAGAAAAGUCCUUGUGAAGAUAGGUGUCAGUGCGUUGGUGGAACAAAGUGGAUUUUACCCUUGUAAUGAUGAGAAGCGGAUGUUGGCAGAAAGUGUAGUAACACUGUUUCCUUCUCUGAAGAUCAAGAUGGGAGAAGAGAAUGAAGGAUUUGAACAUUUCUAUGACCCAGUCUCCCACAGUGGAUUUAUUGAGAUGAGACUUAGAAAUCUACGGAGGAAACUUUGUGAUGAUCAGCGUCGUUA